This 513-nucleotide ribosomal RNA is filed under the name uncultured bacterium. RNAcentral describes it as "partial 16S ribosomal RNA". It matches the Rfam family "Bacterial small subunit ribosomal RNA", at positions 28 to 523 of the family's 1533-position model. The record is from RNAcentral.
GAUGAACGCUGGCGGCGUGCCUAAUACAUGCAAGUCGAGCGAACAGACGAGGAGCUUGCUCCUCUGACGUUAGCGGCGGACGGGUGAGUAACACGUGGAUAACCUACCUAUAAGACUGGGAUAACUUCGGGAAACCGGAGCUAAUACCGGAUAAUAUAUUGAACCGCAUGGUUCAAUAGUGAAAGACGGUUUUGCUGUCACUUAUAGAUGGAUCCGCGCGGCAUUAGCUAGUUGGUAAGGUAACGGCUUACCAAGGCGACGCUGCGUAGCCGACCUGAGAGGUUGAUCGGCCACACUGGAACGGAGACACGGUCCAGACUCCUACGGGAGGCAGCAGUAGGGAAUCUUCCGCAAUGGGCGAAAGCCUGACGGAGCAACGCCGCGUGAGUGAUGAAGGUCUUCGGAUCGUAAAACUCUGUUAUUAGGGAAGAACAAAUGUGUAAGUAACUAUGCACGUCUUGACGGUACCUAAUCAGAAAGCCACGGCUAACUACGUGCCAGCAGCCGCAGUAA